Molecule: ribosomal RNA, 916 nt
Filed under: uncultured bacterium
Lineage: Bacteria
Description: bacterial SSU rRNA
Rfam family: Bacterial small subunit ribosomal RNA
Source: RNAcentral
UUUGAUCCUGGCUCAGAACGAACGCUGGCGGCGUGCCUAACACAUGCAAGUCGAGCGCGAAUGGAGCAAUCCUAGUAGAGCGGCGCACGGGUGCGUAACACGUGGAUAAUCUGCCUGGGUGUCUGGGAUAACCAGUCGAAAGAUUGGCUAAUACCGGAUAAGCCCCCGGGAGCUUCGGCUCUUGAGGGAAAAGGUGGCCUCUGUAUACAAGCUAUCACAUCCAGAUGAGUCCGCGGCCCAUCAGCUAGUUGGCGGGGUAAUGGCCCACCAAGGCAACGACGGGUAGCUGGUCUGAGAGGACGAUCAGCCACACUGGAACUGAGACACGGUCCAGACUCCUACGGGAGGCAGCAGUGGGGAAUUUUGCGCAAUGGGCGAAAGCCUGACGCAGCAACGCCGCGUGUGUGAUGAAGGUCUUUGGAUUGUAAAGCACUUUCGACCGGGACGAAAACCCGUUGGCUAACAUCCAACGGCUUGACGGUACCGGGAGAAGAAGCACCGGCUAACUCUGUGCCAGCAGCCGCGGUAAUACAGAGGGUGCAAGCGUUGUUCGGAAUUAUUGGGCGUAAAGCGCGUGUAGGCGGCUUUGCAAGUCGGAUGUGAAAGCCCUCGGCUCAACCGAGGAAGUGCGUUCGAAACUGCAGAGCUUGAGUACCGGAGAGGGUGGCGGAAUUCCCCAAGUAGAGGUGAAAUUCGUAGAUAUGGGGAGGAACACCGGUGGCGAAGGCGGCCACCUGGACGGUCACUGACGCUGAGACGCGAAAGCGUGGGUAGCAAACAGGAUUAGAUACCGUGGUAGUCCACGCCGUAAACGAUGAGAACUAGGUGUCAUGGGUGUUGACCCCCGCGGUGCCGUAGCUAACGCAUUAAGAACUCCGCCUGGGAAGUACGGUCGCAAGACUAAAACUCAAAGGAA